CCUGUCUCCACCUUCCAAGUUGCCUGCCUGGCUCACACAACAAGGCAUAUACAAUUUAUAGAUAAAUCUAUUUUACGUUGGUAUUUUUUUAGGUUACAAAGCAAUUUCACAUAGAAUUUUACUCAACUGGAGAAGUUUCAGAAAAGCGGUUUUUCAUUCCCAUUUUGCAGAUGAAGAAACUGAGGUUUCGAGGUGCUCCCACUGUCCUUGUCCAUGAGAUCUGAAUAAAAGCAAAGCAACUUGUAAGUGCUCUCCACUUCCCUGUCCAGCAGCUGCUCCAGUGAGCACCAUGGCAGCCACAGAAGCUGCCAGGAGAGGACACUUUAUGGGAAG
RNAcentral lists this long non-coding RNA (333 nucleotides) under Homo sapiens (human). RNAcentral describes it as "non-protein coding lnc-ZCCHC24-5:1". The record is from RNAcentral. Lineage: Eukaryota; Metazoa; Chordata; Mammalia; Primates; Hominidae.